Molecule: long non-coding RNA, 270 nt
Organism: Enhydra lutris kenyoni (northern sea otter)
Lineage: Eukaryota; Metazoa; Chordata; Mammalia; Carnivora; Mustelidae
Exons: 3
Source: RefSeq, a predicted model, not a curated record
CAGAGGGACCAGCUUCCAGGUGGAGCACCAACUGUGGACCCAGGCCACAUUCCCAGGUCAGAGGACAGUGAAGAAACCAAGGGCCCAGGCAGUAAAGGUUCCUCAUGCAGAAUCACUGACCUCCAGCAGGAUCCCAGGGACCAGAGCGCCCAUCCGGAAUCAGAAAGCUUUGAGGACAGAGCAGACCCAGAGGAGGCAGGGAAGAACCAUGCAUCAGACCUGGAGGGCAGCCAGUAGACGGGUGGAACCCCUCCGGGCUCCUUCCCAAGU